RNAcentral lists this non-coding RNA (32 nucleotides) under Homo sapiens (human). Lineage: Eukaryota; Metazoa; Chordata; Mammalia; Primates; Hominidae. The record is from RNAcentral.
UCCUACCUCGCAAAAGCUACGUUCGGCCCAGC